AGCCCUGUGGUGUAGUGGCCAAACAUAUCAGGCUCUGGAAUUUUCUGUUUGCAGAAAGGUCAACAAGCUUAGAGAAACCUGGUGACCUCGGUUCGAAUCCGGGCAGGGCUA
RNAcentral lists this transfer RNA (111 nucleotides) under marine sediment metagenome. It matches the Rfam family "tRNA". Rfam says of the family: Transfer RNA (tRNA) molecules are approximately 80 nucleotides in length. The record is from RNAcentral.